RNAcentral lists this ribosomal RNA (468 nucleotides) under uncultured bacterium. Its description in RNAcentral is "partial 16S ribosomal RNA". It matches the Rfam family "Bacterial small subunit ribosomal RNA", at positions 28 to 507 of the family's 1533-position model. The record is from RNAcentral.
GACGAACGCUGGCGGCGUGCUUAACACAUGCAAGUCGAACGGAAAGGCCCUGCUCUUGUGGGCGGCUCGUGUGGCGCACGGGUGUGUAACACGUGAGUAACCUCCCCUUGACUUGGGGGUACCUCCAGAAAACGGGGGCUAACACCGGAUAGCAGCUCCUGCAACAUGGUGGGGUUUGGAAAUUUCCGGCGUUGGGGGAUGGACGCGCGGUUAAUCAGCUUGUUGGUGGGGUAGUGGCUUACCCGGGCAUUGAUGGGUAGCCGGCCUGAGAGGGUGACCGGCGACAUUGGGACUGAGGUACGGACCAGACUGCUACGGGAGGCAGCAGUGGGGAAUAUUGCACAAUGGGCGGAAGCCUGAUGCAGCGACGCCGCGGGCGGGAUGACGGCCUGCGGGUAGUGAAACGCUUUCGCCUGUGACGAAGCGUGAGUGACGGUAAUGGGUAAAGAAGCACCGGCUAACUACGUG